CUUGAUUCUAUUAUUCAGGGAACAGUGUAUUAAUGAAAUUAUUAACAGUGUAUGUUUUUUUGGGGAUGCCAAAAAGUAUCAUGCCCUGGGUGCCAGUUAUGCCCACUAUGCCACUGCUAUACAUAUAUAGAAUAAAUAUGAUUUCUGAUGAGGAUUUUCUAAACACUUGCUGCUCAAUAAUCGCCAGUUUAUCCUUAUCAUUUUGCAGUAAAUUGAGGAGUUUGUUUCCUUUCAAAAGAAAGUCUAUAGCUAGAAGAAUAUUCAUUCAAACUUGUAUAGGUAGAUGAUUUUGACAAAAUUUCACAAUUAUAAUAUGCUAUCCUAAGUUUGGAUCAUAUUGACUUCAGUGAUAAAAUAGCACUUGUUUGCUGAUUAUAAAAUAGAUAUUGGUUUUCCUUGUGU
RNAcentral lists this long non-coding RNA (402 nucleotides) under Androctonus crassicauda. Lineage: Eukaryota; Metazoa; Arthropoda; Arachnida; Scorpiones; Buthidae. The record is from RNAcentral.